AGAGUUUGAUCAUGGCUCAGAGCGAACGCUGGCGGAAUGCUUAACACAUGCAAGUCGCACGGGGGCUUCGGCUCUAGUGGCGGACGGGUGAGUAACGCGUAGGAACGUGUCCUGGGAUGGGGGAUAACGCUGGGAAACUGGCGCUAAUACCGCAUGUCUGCUGAGGCAGAAAGCCUUUGGGUGUCUUGGGAGCGGCCUGCGUCCGAUUAGCUAGUUGGUGGGGUAAAGGCUUACCAAGGCGACGAUCGGUAGCUGGUCUGAGAGGACGAUCAGCCACACUGGGACUGAGACACGGCCCAGACUCCUACGGGAGGCAGCAGUGGGGAAUAUUGGACAAUGGGCGGAAGCCUGAUCCAGCAAUUCCGCGUGGGUGAAGAAGGUCUUCGGAUUGUAAAGCCCUUUCGGCGGGGACGAUGAUGACGGUACCCGCAGAAGAAGCCCCGGCUAACUUCGUGCCAGCAGCCGCGGUAAUACGAAGGGGGCUAGCGUUGCUCGGAAUUACUGGGCGUAAAGGGCGCGUAGGCGGCGCAGUUAGUCAGGCGUGAAAUUCCUGGGCUUAACCUGGGGACUGCGCUUGAUACGGCUGUGCUAGAGGGUGGAAGAGGCUCGCGGAAUUCCCAGUGUAGAGGUGAAAUUCGUAGAUAUUGGGAAGAACACCGGUGGCGAAGGCGGCGAGCUGGUCCAUUACUGACGCUGAGGCGCGACAGCGUGGGGAGCAAACAGGAUUAGAUACCCUAGUAGUCC
RNAcentral lists this ribosomal RNA (744 nucleotides) under uncultured bacterium. RNAcentral describes it as "bacterial SSU rRNA". It matches the Rfam family "Bacterial small subunit ribosomal RNA", at positions 8 to 796 of the family's 1533-position model. The record is from RNAcentral.